RNAcentral lists this ribosomal RNA (440 nucleotides) under uncultured bacterium. RNAcentral describes it as "bacterial SSU rRNA". It matches the Rfam family "Bacterial small subunit ribosomal RNA", at positions 338 to 795 of the family's 1533-position model. The record is from RNAcentral.
CCUACGGGUGGCAGCAGCAAGGAAUUUUGCACAAUGGGCGCAAGCCUGAUGCAGCAACGUCGCGUGGAGGAUGACGGCCUUCGGGUUGUAAACUCCUUUUCGGGGGAAAGAUAGUGACGGUCCCCCCGGAAUCAGCCCCGGCUAACUCCGUGCCAGCAGCCGCGGUAAGACGGAGGGGGCAAGCGUUGUCCGGACUCACUGGGCGUAAAGGGUGCGUAGGCGGCCCUGUGCGUCGGCGCUGAAAGCGCCCGGCUCAACCGGGCGAGGCGUGCCGAUACGAUGGGGCUGGAGGCGCAGAGAGGGUGGCGGAACUCCUGGUGUAGUGGUGAAAUGCGUAGAGAUCAGGAAGAACACCCGUGGCGCAAGCGGCCACCUGGCUGCGACCUGACGCUGAGGCACGAGAGCGUGGGGAGCGAACCGGAUUAGAUACCCGGGUAGUC